AAUCAACGCUGGCGGCGUGCCUAAUACAUGCAAGUCGAACGCGAAAGUGGAGCAAUCCAUGAGUAGAGUGGCAAACGGGUGAGUAACGCGUGGGUGACCUGCCUUCGAGUGGGGGAUAACGUUUCGAAAGGAACGCUAAUACCGCAUGACAUCCUGCCUUUUAACAGGUGGAGAUCAAAGCUGGGGAUCGCAAGACCUAGCGCUUGAAGAGGGGCCCGCGUCCGAUUAGCUAGUUGGUGGGGUAACGGCUCACCAAGGCAACGAUCGGUAGCCGGCCUGAGAGGGCGGACGGCCACACUGGGACUGAGACACGGCCCAGACUCCUACGGGAGGCAGCAGUAGGGAAUUGUUCGCAAUGGGCGCAAGCCUGAC
Molecule: ribosomal RNA, 372 nt
Filed under: uncultured bacterium
Lineage: Bacteria
Description: bacterial SSU rRNA
Rfam family: Bacterial small subunit ribosomal RNA
Source: RNAcentral